GACGAACGCUGGCGGCGUGCUUAACACAUGCAAGUCGAACGGAAAGGCCCUGCUUUUGUGGGGUGCUCGAGUGGCGAACGGGUGAGUAACACGUGAGUAACCUGCCCUUGACUUUGGGAUAACUUCAGGAAACUGGGGCUAAUACAGGAUAGGAGCUCCUGCUGCAUGGUGGGGGUUGGAAAGUUUCGGCGGUUGGGGAUGGACGCGCGGCUUAUCAGCUUGUUGGUGGGGUAGUGGAUUACCAAGGCUUUGACUGGUAGGCGGCCUGGGAGGGUGACCGGGCACCUGGGGCCUGAGAUACGGCCCAGACUCCUACGGGAGGCAGCAGUGGGGAAUAUUGCACAAUGGGCGGAAGCCUGAUGAAGCAACGCUGCGUGUGGGAUGCCGGCCUUCUGGUUGUAAACCGCUUUCGCCUGAGACGAAGCGUGAGUGACGGUAAUGGGUAAAGAAGCACCGGCUAACUACGUG
Molecule: ribosomal RNA, 468 nt
Filed under: uncultured bacterium
Lineage: Bacteria
Description: partial 16S ribosomal RNA
Rfam family: Bacterial small subunit ribosomal RNA
Source: RNAcentral